AGUCAUAUGCUUGUCUCAAAGAUUAAGCCAUGCAUGUCUCAGUAUAAGCUUCUAUAUGGUGAAACUGCGAAUGGCUCAUUAAAACAGUUAUAAUUUAUAUGAUGAUCAUUAUUACAUGGAUACCCGUGGUAAUUCUAGAGCUAAUACAUGCAUAAAAAUCCAACUUCUAGGAAGGGUUGUGCUUAUUAGCUUUCAAAACUAACUCAAGCCCUGCUUGGUUCACUGGUGAUUCAUAAUGUGGAUCUAAUCGCAUAGCAUCUGCUGGCGAUAAAUCAUUUAAGUUUCUGACCUAUCAGCUUCCGACGGUAAGGUAUUGGCUUACCGUGGCAAUGACGGGUAA
RNAcentral lists this ribosomal RNA (340 nucleotides) under uncultured eukaryote. RNAcentral describes it as "bacterial SSU rRNA". It matches the Rfam family "Eukaryotic small subunit ribosomal RNA", at positions 22 to 362 of the family's 1831-position model. The record is from RNAcentral.